CGGACGGGUGAGUAACGCGUGAGCAAUCUGCCGGGAAGUGGGGGAUAGCUCGCCGAAAGGCGAAUUAAUACCGCAUGUGGCCAGAGGGGACAUCCCUUCGACGCCAAAGUCGCAAGACGCUUCCUGAUGAGCUCGCGGCCUAUCAGCUUGUUGGUGAGGUAACGGCUCACCAAGGCUAUGACGGGUAGCUGGUCUGAGAGGACGACCAGCCACACUGGAACUGAGACACGGUCCAGACACCUACGGGUGGCAGCAGUCGAGAAUUUUUCACAAUGGGGGAAACCCUGAUGGAGCGACGCCGCGUGGAGGAUGAAGGUCUUCGGAUUGUAAACUCCUGUCAUGCGAGAACAAGAAAGUGAUAGUAUCGCAAGAGGAGGAGACGGCUAACUCUGUGCCAGCAGCCGCGGUAAUACAGAGGUCUCAAGCGUUGUUCGGAUUCAUUGGGCGUAAAGGGUGCGUAGGCGGCGUGGUAAGUUGAGUGUGAAAUCCUAGGGCUUAACCUUAGAACUGCACUCAAUACUGCCAUGCUAGAGGAAUGUAGAGGAGAGUGGAAUUCACGGUGUAGCAGUGAAAUGCGUAGAUAUCGUGAGGAAGACCAGUUGCGAAGGCGACUCUCUGGGCAUUUCCUGACGCUGAGGCACGAAGGCCAGGGGAGCAAAUGGGAUUAGAUACCCCAGUAGUC
Molecule: ribosomal RNA, 682 nt
Filed under: uncultured Verrucomicrobiota bacterium
Lineage: Bacteria; Pseudomonadati; Verrucomicrobiota
Description: bacterial SSU rRNA
Rfam family: Bacterial small subunit ribosomal RNA
Source: RNAcentral